This 240-nucleotide ribosomal RNA is filed under the name uncultured bacterium. RNAcentral describes it as "partial small subunit ribosomal RNA". It matches the Rfam family "Bacterial small subunit ribosomal RNA", at positions 26 to 288 of the family's 1533-position model. The record is from RNAcentral.
AGAGCGAACGCUGGCGGCAUGCUUAACACAUGCAAGUCGCACGGUCGGGGGUAACUCCGGCAGUGGCGGACGGGUGAGUAACGCGUAGGCAUCUAUCCUUGAGUGGGGGAUAACCUAGGGAAACCUGGGCUAAUACCGCAUAAUACCUUCGGGUCAAAGGAGCAAUUCGCUUAAGGAGGGGGUCGCGGCCGAUUAGUUAGUUGGCGGGGUAAUGGCCCACCAAGACUGUGAUCGGUAUCC